Molecule: long non-coding RNA, 2783 nt
Filed under: Marmota monax (woodchuck)
Lineage: Eukaryota; Metazoa; Chordata; Mammalia; Rodentia; Sciuridae
Source: RNAcentral
GUAUUAGUUGCAGUUCUUCCAAGAAACAAAACCCAUAGUGUGUAUGUGUAUAGAGAGAGAUUUUAAGGAAUUGGCUCAUGAUCGUGGGGUUUCGCAAGUCUGAAAUCUGUAGGGUGGGCCAUCAGGUCUGGAAAUUCAAGUAAUAUUUGAUGUUACAGAUAAUAUUGGUGUGAAUCUGAAACCUUCAGGGUAGACCAACAAGCUGAAAACUAGGGCAGAGUUUCUAUGUUGGAGUCUUGAGGAAGAAUUUCUGCUUCUCUGAAAACCUGAGUCUUUGGUCUCUUAAGGCUUCAACUGAGUGUUGAGGUCUACCCUCUUUAAUGAGGGUAAUCUGCUUAAAAUCAACAGAUGAUCCAUGUUAAUCACACCCACAAAAUACCUUCAAAGCAACAUCUUGACAAGCGUUUAACCAAACUGGACAUUAUAUCCUUGUCAAAGUAAUACAUGAAAUUAUCGAUCACAGAGAGCAAACUUUAAACCUAAAUAAUAGAAGAAAUCCCAUUACCUAAAGCAACAAAAGGACAAGGACCUAAGAAUAAACUUAACAAAAUAUGCAAGAUUUAUAUAAAUGAAAGUUCUAUAUGGGAAAACUAUAAAAGUAAACUUGAAUGUUUAAAAAGAAUGUUCUUCUUGGAAUAGAAAGACUUAACCUACUAAAAUAAUCAAUUCACCCUAAGUUAAUCUACACAUUUAACAUGACCUCAGUACAUGGUAAAAAAAAAAUAAAAAUUAUCCAGGAAAAUUAUGGGGAACCAAAAAAAAAAAAAGUGAGUUUCUAUUAGGGUCAGCCAGCAGUUCUAAUUUCAACCAGAACUAUAAAGGAAAGAGAGUUCUGGGAAACGUAGUUCCAAUGUAGCAAAAAUUGAUAGUAUAAAAACCACUCAGAACUUCUCUUGUCACCUCGACCUCAUAUUAUUAUCCAUAAUUAAUAUUUAAAUAAAGCCUUCAUCAGAAUCCUACUUUAGCCCUUAUGAUGCAGCUUUCUCUCAUACAACUAAAAUCAGCUCACUCCUAUCCCAAGAGAGGAUAAAGAGUCUUCUUUGAGCAAUGCCCAGUCCUCCUCUUAGUGGGUCACAAUAUCCCUUUGACAUUCCAAAACAUACAUAAUAAGUUGUAAGGUUAACUACUAUUAACAGGCCAGGGAUUAAACCCAAGGUCUUGUACAUAUUAAGCAAGCAUCCUACCACAGAGCUAUGUACCCAGUCAGAAAAAAAAAAAGUUGGUUAAUAUAUAUACAAAUGUAUCAAAAUGAGGGAAAAUGCCCAUAAAUAUUACAGUACUUAUAUCUACAACUAGUAAAAUUGUCAUGGCUACUAUUUUUAUAACUAUCUUUCUUCUCUUCAGUUACCUGUUUAAUAUUCCCUUUACCUUCAGUAAAUAUCUCAGCUGUUGGUAGUUCCUUGCCUUUUGAAUACACCUAAACCUGCAUUCCUGAAGGAUCUGAGCUAUUAGAGUUUCUACUUCUGUUGGAUUGUGGUAGUUUUCCAUUACGUCACAUCACAGAGCCUGGUAAUUCUAAGUACCAUGUAACAUCUCCAAAGAAUCUCCUGCAUUCCAUUCGUAUUCCUUCCUUCUCCCAUUGUGUAGCAGCUUGGUGUGAGCAAUCAUUCUGCUUGGAAGUGAUCAAUCACUUCAGGUAGUUCAAUGAUCCCUUCUUGGUAUGUUGGCUAAAUAGCAGAAAGCUCAAAAUAGUCAAGUGACUGUCUCAUCUUUCAACUUAAUUGAACUGUUGCUGGUAUGCCCUAGUGGGAGCAUUGUUCUUUAGGAGAAGCAGAAAAUUACAGAGAUGGAAAGCAAAAAUUUUGCAUGUGCUUCAUUAGGAGUAAAAGUGGGGAUCCACUCCCAAGCCUACCCCUUGAAUCCUGGACCAUGGCUGUAUAUUUGUCACUAUUUUCAUGAGCUUUUAUGUCGCUGUGGCCAAAAGACCUGACAAGAACAAUUUAGAGGAAAAAAGUUUAUUUUGCUCACAGUUUCAGAGGUUCAAUUCAUGGUUGGCAGACUCCAUAACUGUGAGUCUAAGUUGACCUCAGAACAUCAUGGCAGAAGGGCAUAGCAGAAGAAAGCAGCAGAACAUGAUAGACAGGAAGCAGGGCAAACUCAGCACCCUUGAGACAAAAUAUAAACCCCAAAGGCAUUGACCUACUUCCUUCUGUCACAACCUACUUGCCUGCAGUUACCAUCUGGUUAAUCCAUAUCAGUGGAUUAAUCCUUCUCAUAAUCUGGUCAUUUAAACAUUCUCGAAUUGUCUCACAAGAGUUUUUGUGAGACACUUAAUAUCUCAACCAUAACAUUGUAUCCCUAGCUCCCAAAAGCUCAUACUUAUCUCACAAUGCAAAAUACAUUUAGUCCAUUUUGAAGAGUCCCCAUAGUCUUAACAGCUCCAGCAUUGCCCAAAAAGUCCAAGUCCAAAAUCUCAUCUGAGACUCAAGGCAAACUAUUAACUGUGAGAAUAAAAAUCAAAAGCAAGUUAACCUAUGUCCAAUACAUAAUGACACAGAGGAAGCAUUCUCAUUCCAAAAGGGAGAAAUAGGGAUACAGAAAGAUGGGAUGGGACCAAAACAAGACUGAAAUGCAGCUUGGAAAACAAAUUCUGUAGCUCCAUGUCCAGGCACAUGGCAUUGUGAUGUUCUCUCCAAAGGGCUUAUGUAUUUCCUCCCUUGUGGUCUUUUGCUGGUUGCAGCUCACAUGGCUUCUUUCUUGGCUACCUCUGCUUGAUUCCUACAGCUUUACUAGGCAUACAUUUCAUGUUACUGGUAUCUCUUAAUUUCAGAGGUCUCUACUAC